GACGAACCGAGCGAACGUUGUUCGGAAUCACUGGGCUUAAAGGGCGCGUAGGCGGCCGCCGCAAGUCAGUUGUGAAAUCUCCGAGCUUAACUCGGAAAGGUCAACUGAUACUGCGGGGCUAGAGUGCGGAAGGGGCAACUGGAAUUCUUGGUGUAGCGGUGAAAUGCGUAGAUAUCAAGAGGAACACCUGCGGCGAAGGCGGGUUGCUGGGCCGACACUGACGCUGAGGCGCGAAAGCUAGGGGAGCGAACGGG
This 254-nucleotide ribosomal RNA is filed under the name uncultured bacterium. RNAcentral's name for it is "partial 16S ribosomal RNA". It matches the Rfam family "Bacterial small subunit ribosomal RNA", at positions 524 to 776 of the family's 1533-position model. The record is from RNAcentral.